This 497-nucleotide ribosomal RNA is filed under the name uncultured bacterium. Its description in RNAcentral is "partial 16S ribosomal RNA". It matches the Rfam family "Bacterial small subunit ribosomal RNA", at positions 28 to 507 of the family's 1533-position model. The record is from RNAcentral.
GAUGAACGCUGGCGGCGUGCCUAAUACAUGCAAGUCGAGCGAACGGACGAGAAGCUUGCUUUUCUGAUGUUAGCGGCGGACGGGUGAGUAACACGUGGAUAACCUACCUAUAAGACUGGGAUAACCUCGGGAAACCGGAGCUAAUACCGGAUAAUAUUUUGAACCGCAUGGUUCAAAAGUGAAAGACGGUCUUGCUGUCACUUAUAGAUGGAUCCGCGCUGCAUUAGCUAGUUGGUAAGGUAACGGCUUACCAAGGCAACGAUGCAUAGCCGACCUGAGAGGGUGAUCGGCCACACUGGAACUGAGACACGGUCCAGACUCCUACGGGAGGCAGCAGUAGGGAAUCUUCCGCAAAGGGCGAAAGCCUGACGGAGCAACGCCGCGUGAGUGAUGAAGGUCUUCGGAUCGUAAAACUCUGUUAUUAGGGAAGAACAUAUGUGUAAGUAACUGUGCACAUCUUGACGGUACCUAAUCAGAAAGCCACGGCUAACUACGUG